Molecule: ribosomal RNA, 504 nt
Filed under: Globigerinita uvula
Lineage: Eukaryota; Foraminifera; Rotaliida; Globigerinitidae
Description: bacterial SSU rRNA
Rfam family: Eukaryotic small subunit ribosomal RNA
Source: RNAcentral
GUGGCUUAAUUUGACUCAACGCGGGAAAUCUUACCGGGUCCGGACACACUGAGGAUUGACAGGCAAUAUAUGCUUUGCUUACUCUUCGGGGUAGGUACUGCAUUGUUAAAUAUGCUAGUCCUUUCAUGAUUAUGUGAUAGGUGGUGCAUGGCCGUUCUUAGUUCGUGGAGUGAUCUGUCUGCUUAAUUGCGUUUCACUUAUUUUAUAGGAUCUAAUAUUAAUGAUGUGUGAGCGACUCGCAUGCUCUUGACCCACACUUGUUUACUCAGGUGGUCCGUGCGUCAUUAUAGGCUUUUGCUUGACCUCCCAUCUUUUAGCUAUCCUUUGAAAGCAACGAACGUGACCGCAACCUCUUGUUGCCUUCGUUUAACAUCCUACUGCUGACUCUUCAUUGAGCACUGCGGNGGGUAUUGAGGGCUUCACUCAUUCACUUGAGUAAACUAGAGGGACCGCUGUCUACUUCUUAAACCANAGGAAGGUUGCGGCAAUAACAGGUCUGUGAUG